Sinocyclocheilus anshuiensis is the source of this 119-nucleotide ribosomal RNA. The record is from Ensembl. Lineage: Eukaryota; Metazoa; Chordata; Actinopteri; Cypriniformes; Cyprinidae.
GCUUACGGCCAUACCACCCUGUCUGCGCCCGAUCUCAUCUGAUCUCGGAAGCAAAGCAUGGUCGGGCUUGGUUAGUACUUGGAUGGGAGACCGCCUGGGAAUACCAGGUGCUGUAAGCU